AGUCGAGCGAUGAACACCUUCGGGUGUGAAUUAGCGGCGAACGGGUGAGGAACACGUGAGAAAUCUGCCUUCACACUGGGAUAACUCCGGGAAACCGGGGCUAAUACCGGAUAUGAAAUCUGCGGGCAUCCGCGGAUUUGGAAAGUUUUUCGGUUGAAGAUGAUCUCGCGGCCUAUCAGCUUGUUGGUGAGGUAAUGGCUCACCAAGGCGACGACGGGUAGCCGGCCUGAGAGGGCGACCGGCCACACUGGGACUGAGACACGGCCCAGACUCCUACGGGAGGCAGCAGUGGGGAAUAUUGGGCAAUGGAGGAAACUCUGACCCAGCGACGCCGCGUGCGGGAUGAAGGCCUUCGGGUUGUAAACCGCUUUCAGCAGGGAAGAAGCGAAAGUGACGGUACCUGCAGAAGAAGCACCGGCUAACUAUGUGCCAGCAGCCGCGGUAAUACAUAGGGUGCAAGCGUUGUCCGGAAUUAUUGGGCGUAAAGAGCUCGUAGGUGGUUCGUCACGUCGGAUGUGAAAAUCUGGGGCUUAACCCCAGACCUGCAUUCGAUACGGGCGAGCUUGAGUAUGGUAGGGGAGUCUGGAAUUCCUGGUGUAGCGGUGGAAUGCGCAGAUAUCAGGAGGAACACCAAUGGCGAAGGCAGGACUCUGGGCCAUUACUGACACUGAGGAGCGAAAGCGUGGGGAGCGAACAGGAUUAGAUACCCUGGUAGUCCACGCCGUAAACGGUGGGCACUAGUUGUGGGGACCUUCCACGGUCUCUGCGACGCAGCUAACGCAUUAAGUGCCCCGCCUGGGGAGUACGAUCGCAAGAUUAAA
This 821-nucleotide ribosomal RNA is filed under the name uncultured bacterium. Its description in RNAcentral is "bacterial SSU rRNA". It matches the Rfam family "Bacterial small subunit ribosomal RNA", at positions 60 to 898 of the family's 1533-position model. The record is from RNAcentral.